This is a long non-coding RNA of Daphnia pulex (common water flea), 703 nucleotides long. RefSeq lists it as uncharacterized. The transcript is spliced from 5 exons. The record is from RefSeq and is a predicted model, not a curated record. Lineage: Eukaryota; Metazoa; Arthropoda; Branchiopoda; Diplostraca; Daphniidae.
UUGCUCAAUCGUAGGAUCCUCCCGUCCUUCAACAACGUGGUUGAAACUUGAAACAAAGCAGGCAAGGUUCUAAAUGUUUGAAAUAGUCUGGAAAUACCCAGGACUAUCCUGAAGAGGGUUCAAUAAUCCAAUAUAUUAAAGUUCUAAAGCUUCAUUGGAUAUGACAACGCAAAGAUUAAGAAUUUAGCCCUCACUGUUGAUGUGGAGUUUGAUGUAAGUUGGUGCUAAACUGCUAAUUUGCUGCCAUCCCCUUUCGUGAUAUGUUCAAUGUCAAGUAAUGCAUAUUAAUAGCUGGACCCUGACAAAUUGUCACUCGCACAUGAGAACAGGCUGGUGAAUUCUGAGCUUCUUUGUGUCGGUCCAAUGUGCUAUGUGCAGAUGGGUUUGUUACAGCCAGCUGGUGAUGGGUGCUUUUCUUGUAACCUGUACCAGCUGUAUGUUUCAUAUAAUACAAAAACACUCAACAGAAUGAAUGUCACACUUCAGAACAAUUAAGGAUUAACAGCCUGGUGAAGUCUGAGCUUCUUUGUUGCUGACCAAUGUUCACAUGGAUUUGACAUAAGCGGCAGGUAAAGGUUUUUCUCUUGCUUCCUGUACUGCUGUGUGCUCAGUCCCUUGAAGAAACACUUAAGAACUAUUGAAGUUUCGCGUUUAUGUUCGCGUAGUUGCAGUCCGAUGUGGCACGUUGUUGCAGCCUAUGCUG